CCACAGAGCUAACUUGCAAGGUCUCUACUCUAAUGUUAUUACCUAAUGCCUAUGUAGCACACCACUAAACUCUUUUCAUAUUUCUACCCAUCCUAAUUAACUUCUUCGGAUAAACAUCUUUAGCCCUUGUUUGAUUUUGAUUUUGAUUUUUCCAAAAUGACUUUUCGUCAAAACUUAUUUUCAACUACACAUUCUCCCAAUAAAUAAUUUUGCAAGUGGACCCAUAACUUUUCCCUACUUUUUAACCACACAUUCUUUAAAAAAAUCAUUUUUUCACAAAAUCACUUUUGAAAAAUUAAAAAUCAAACAAGGGCUUAGUAUUACCUUCCAGUUCUGAAACAACCAAAUACAAAGACAGCUCAACAGCCCCAUAUUUAACUAAUAAUAUGCCCCAGAAAAUAAAACCCAAGGUGAAAUCAUCAGGUUCAAAUGUCAGAAACUAUGAGCCUGUUUGGGCUCGAUUUUUCCAUCCAAAAAAUUGAUUUUUUGACCGAUAUUCCACUAUUUCAGCCGUCGUAUUUGACUUCUUCUCUCACGAGUGGACCCCACUUUUCUUCUAACGGUCAAAAAAUCAAUUCUCAAAAUCACUCCCAAACAGCCUCUAUAUGAAGUGAAAUAGAGUAGACAAGUAAGAGCCAGCUGAAGUUGAAGGAUUUUAUCACACAUUUUUCAUUCACAAUUGGAAGCCACAGUGAGUUUCAUAUAACCGAACAGAAAUUUAAGUGCUUUGUCUGAAAAACAACAUAUAAAUGGUGUACCCAUAAUAGAAUAGCAUGCUCAAGACUGUAUUUUAAAAUUUUCACAACCGUAAACUAGUAAUAGGAUCUCACACAUUCUUGUAGACUUUACCAAAACAGUGAUUCAUAUCAUUUAAGAAGACAUUUGAAAUCUAUGUGAUUUGUGAAACAUAGAAGAAAAUUGUUAUUUCUAGAUUAAAUAGCUACCUCUACACUGUACCCUUCAUUGUAAAUAAAUUAUCAGAUUUGCAGGGGAAAAAAAAUUUCCGUGAGAAAGAAGAAUGAAAAUUUGGGUGAUCAAUCCAUGAUCAUGACAAAGUUUGCGUGAAACUAAAUGAGGGGUCCAAACCAAUCAAUGUUGAAGAAACAGAAAAUUAAUUGUCGUUAGGGGUGAAAUGCCACUCAAGCCUAGAAAUAGCUGGCUCUCCCUCAAACAUGUUGAGAAGCACUUGACGAGACAUCUAGGGGUUAAGCACUAUUUCGGUGCAGGGAGCAAUAACAAAUAGAGGUAAGUUUUGAACACUAGACGUGACCUCAAAA
RNAcentral lists this long non-coding RNA (1277 nucleotides) under Olea europaea subsp. europaea. The record is from RNAcentral. Lineage: Eukaryota; Viridiplantae; Streptophyta; Magnoliopsida; Lamiales; Oleaceae.